CAGUCUGAUAUUUUGUUGAGUUUUCAUUUCAAACAAUACGGAAAUCGCGAAAGGAUUAGCUAUUUGAACCGUCAUGUACAUAUCGUGUGUACUUUUUAAUAGUAUGAAGACCUUCGGGACUGUUCUAACGCUCUGUGUUAUGUGCGUUUGCGUAAAUGGAUUUUUAUUCGGGCGACAACAUCCUCUCUUUGGAAAUGAUCCGGAUAUGCUGACUGCCGCCCUACUGUUCGGCCUUGAUGGAAACGAGCUAAUGGCCCUGCAGUCUCUUUCGCAGCCGGACGCGCGUGCACGAAGCCAGUUUCAGAGGGACAUUUCUGUUCUCUCAAUGCUGGGUCUCAUUGACGGAGCGGACGCUCCGGACAACAAAGGACCCGGCGCGGCAGGAAGGGGAGGCGGGAAGAACGCGGCUGGUGCAGCGGCCGGCGGUGAAGGUGGUCCUGGUGGUGAAGGCGGUGAAGGCGGUGCCGCAGUUAAGAAAGCGGCGCCUAAAGAACGCGCAAGAGGAGCAGCUAGGGGCGGGGCAGCUCAACCCGCACCAACAACUCCAGCCCCGCCCCGCAGAACCAGACAGCCAAGACACUAAUUUAGACCAUUUUUUCUUAAUAAGACCAUCGAGAAGUAAGAGAGGGAUGCAUUCGUCAAAAUACCUGGGCAUGUUUCCUGGUUCAGAUGCUUGAUAUUGGCGUCUUAAAAUAACCUGGCAAGAUAUGAUAUUAUAAGGCGGAAAAGUUGUUGUCUCCACUACCUUCUCAGACAAUUAGCGUAGGUAGCUUGGCCAACCUUUUUCGAUAGACAUUUUUACUAUACACGUGCUAUUUAUGUUGUAGUAUUUUUGUCAUGUGAAUGUUAAGUUUAUAACCGUUAAUAAUAUUUUUUUUCAACUCAAAGACAAGGUUUUAAUUGUAAUUUCAUCUUCGAAUCUAGUUGACGAUUUAAAAAAAAAACAAUUUCAUCGAAGAGUUAAAUAACAUGUGGAUUUAUAUAUUUUAUUUUUAUAACUCUCAAAAGAACAUCAAAUAGUACAUUUUAGGCUUACCAAAACAUAUUGAUUAAUCCAUAAAGUUACAAGGGCUUGUUAAUUAACAGUUUGGCGAAAUGACAAUAACAAAACAAUAGUUAUCGCUUCAAAAAGCACCAUAUUUAAACAAAACGCUCCUGACAAAGAAGCAUGUUUUAAAUGUACGAUAGUUAAUUUAGAAUCAUCAAUGGAAACCGUUAAACGUUUUAAGCGUUUGUAACUUUUUCCAUCGAUAGCUAAGCAAAAAAAGUGUUUUGUUAAAAUAGAGUUUCAAUAUCGAUUCAGAUUCCUAGAUCGACUGUAGCGAGUUAACUUUUGUUUCUAAAGGUCUUCGUUUCGAUCCCCAAAUGCAGACACAUUCCAUGUUAUAGUAAUUUCAAACUAUUCCAAAAUAUUACUGUUUUGUUAGUAAAUUAAUUUAAGUAACUUAAACGUUAUUUUAUGUGUGUAAAGUAAUUUCACCAAAUGGUCAGCGCAAGUUAGAUAAACAAUAUGUAAGACAAUAAAAACGUUCAAAGUUGUAUCCGUGUUGGAUAAAAAGAUUUGUAAUUGUUGUCUUACAUGUUAAACAAUAGGUAUGAUAUUAUUAAGAUAAAAAUAUUCGAAUACAAUAUAAUUGUUCAAACAGUUCACUACGUUUUAAUACAAUGUUAUUGUAAGAUAGGUGUUGAUAUUUAUUGUUAUUCCCUUUCUCAAUCAAUCCUUUCAAUGCUAUAAUUUGUGAAUUUAAUAUUUGUGUAGUUUAUUUAGAUAAAAUAUUUUUCUUACAUAUUUGUAGGAAAUACUAAAUUACAGCGCAUAUGGCUUCUAACACAUUUUAUGUUUUAAUAACAUACAUAAACAUUAUUAAAUUAUUGUGCGUUAAUCAUAAGUAGAAUAAAUGUACCAACACAGUAUGAACUGUCCGGAAUUUUUCAAUAUGAACAUUUAAUCAUUAAUUAUUUAAUAUAAUAAUUCUAUUUUAAAUAUUGAAAACUCAUCAUAUAUAUUUAACAUUGAUUAGUUGAAGUGAUAUUGAUUCUUUAAAAACCGCUUAACAAGGCACACAUCAGUAUUUACUUUAGUUCCAAAAUAUUGAAAUGAUGGUCAGUGCCAUGGGUUAACAUUAACAUACUAAUUGUAAAUAGAUACAAAACAAGUGUGAAAGAUGUGUUCUGUGUCUGGGCGAUCUGUUACCAGUAGCCGAGCCUUCCUCUUUGAAAACGGGGUUAAAUGCAUGAGCGUAAAGUGUCGUACGAGAUAUGCCCGUGAAAUCCACACAGGCUAAUAAGGGACGACACAAUCCACAUAAAUAGAUUUUCUCUAAGGAGAGACCUCCUUUAAACGAAAAAUACAAAAAAAAACGGAAAAUGUCGUCCCAUAUUAGCCUGUGCAAACUACUCAAUCUACUCUGGGGCGACACUUUACGCUCAUGCAUUAAGCCAUACUUUCUUAGAGCUAGGCUGAAUUAAAUUGGUGUCCGUAUACUUAUGUGGACACUGUUUGUCUAAACUUUGUUAUUUGUUGGUUGUCCAUUAAAAGAAUAUUUAUAUAUA
Dreissena polymorpha is the source of this 2553-nucleotide long non-coding RNA. RefSeq lists it as uncharacterized. Lineage: Eukaryota; Metazoa; Mollusca; Bivalvia; Myida; Dreissenidae. The transcript is spliced from 4 exons. The record is from RefSeq and is a predicted model, not a curated record.